Molecule: unclassified non-coding RNA, 1321 nt
Filed under: uncultured Neocallimastigales
Lineage: Eukaryota; Fungi; Neocallimastigomycota; Neocallimastigomycetes; Neocallimastigales
Description: partial contains internal transcribed spacer 1, 5.8S ribosomal RNA, internal transcribed spacer 2, and large subunit ribosomal RNA
Rfam family: Eukaryotic large subunit ribosomal RNA (bases 611-1321)
Source: RNAcentral
UUCCGUAGGUGAACCUGCGGAAGGACAUAAAAAUUCUGCCAUUGUUUGGUGAAACAAUAAUCCUACCUUUGUGAAUUUGUUGUUUGUAAUAUUUUUAAAGAAAUUAUUUACUGUCUAUCCUGGAUAGUAAAAGUUGGAAGGAGUAUCUAGAAACUUUGCUUCAGGGAAUAGUAUGUAUAAAUUUUCAUUAAAGACCUUUUUUUAAAUAAACUUUGUAUUCAUUUGUCUAAAAUUUAUUUUAAAUAAUUUAAAAACACUUUUGACAAUGGAUCUCUUGUUCUCGCACGAUGAAGAACGCAGCAAAAUGCGAUAAGUAGUGUGAAUGCAGAAUACGUGAAUCAUCAAAUCUUCGAACGCAUAUUGCACUUUUUUAGUUUACUAAAAAGUAUGUCUGUUUGAGUAUCAGUAAAAUAUUCUCAAUAAACUUUUUUGUUAUUGGUUAUGAUGUUUACAACGAUACAAGUUGUUUCACUUUAAAUUGACUUUAUAUAAACUAUCCAUUUAGUCAAUUUUUAAAUUGGAUAAAAUUUUCUGUAAAAGGGAUAACUUGACAGUUUUAAAGAAAGAUCUAAAAAGGUUUUCUUAAAAGGAAAUUUAUAAUAAACUAACUUGAUCUCAAAUCAGAUAAGUACCCGCUGAACUUAAGCAUAUCAAUAAGCGGAGGAAAAACAACAGAUUCCCUGUAACGCGAGUGAGCGGGAAGAGCUCAAAUUUGAAAUCUUCAAGGUUCCUUGACGAUUGUAGUUUAUAGAAGUGUUUUCUGUUAGAGAGUGGUAAAAGUUCUUUGGAAUAGGACAUCAUAGAGGUGAGAUCCCGUAUUGAUCACUUCUACUAACGUUGUGAUACACUUUCAACGAGUCGGAUUGUUUGGGAAUGCAGUCCAAAUGGUGUAAUUUCAUCUAAAGCUAAAUAUUGGCGAGAGACCGAUAGCGAACAAGUACGGAGGAAAGAUGAAAAGAACUUGAAAAGAGUUAAACAGUACGUGAAAUUGUCAAAAGGAAGCGUUUGACACCAGUGUUGUUUUCCGAAAAUCAAUUAGAAUGGCGGGAUUCUAAGUUCAUGACCUUAAAAGCUUGUUUCUUUCUUUCCUGUCUUUCUUAAUGCACUUUCGGUUAACAAUCAACAUCAAUUUCUUUUGUUGUAAAAGGUAGAGAAGGUGGCUUACUUUCGGGUAAGUGUUUUAGCUUUUAACUCUGCAAUCGGAGAGAUUGAGGUCUGCAGCGUAGAUCCUUCGGGCUAGAUACGUUUGUGCUAAGUUAUAGCUUUUCAUAGACAACUUGUUGACUAUGUUAGUCUUGUAGCUUACUCGCAGAUGCUAUUU